GCUGUGGAUCAUCAGCCUUAAGGAGCACUUGACUUUCGAUUCCAGUCUUUAGACAGCUUAAGCUUGAAACUUACCCCUCCAUGAAGACAUGCCAGGGCUUGCAGCUGUACUAAUUAAGUACGUUAGGUGAAGGUUUCUGAUAUGAUAAUCAACAACAAAACGGCAGCUUUUGCAUUUAAACCAUCUUAAUGAGGUGUUAGAACUGAAGCCCUUUGAGGUGAAUGGGGAAAGUUUAUACACGCUGCUAUUGUUCCAGCCCGUCUGGCUCUCCUCUCCAAACAACAGCGCGGUGAUUACCUUAACAGCCAGAACAAAACGUUUUUCCAACAAGCAUCGGGUACUCAUCAGUGUGAUUAAUCAGCCUGUAUUUGCACAGGACUUUGAAGACAGAGAAGGCUGGUGGAAGUCCUGUGGGUUAUUACUGCCCAAGUAAAACUACCCGGAUUCCACUUCCUUAUUAAGCUAGUCUGGCAAACAAUUGAAGACAUAAGUACAUAUCUUUCUUCUCCUCAAAGAAAUAUUAUUUUCAAAGCCAAGUUAGGACCAUCUAAAUGCAAGUAACUCUCCCAGGAGAUUGCCAGGGACCAAUGGAUACGAAGGCACUUUUGUAUACAAGCAUCAGCCAAGACACCGUGCAUAAAUUAUUUUUCCAUCAACAGCACUGGAAGCAAGCUUAUUUUCUCAGGCAGAUCCCAGUGCUAAAUGGGGGGAAAGGUUCAGAGGAAUAAAUACUCCCUCUUAAUUUUCUAUGAAACACCUCAUCCUGGUCUGAAAGGCAAAUCCCCAACCCCGUGUAAGGAAAAGCUGCUGCCACUGGUCUCCAGGUGUGCUACACCACUUUUGAUUGUAGCCAAAUGCCAACAGCUCCACCCGAAGAUUUUUAACUCUAGCAAAUUCGGAGCCCCACCUGAAGCCGACAGAAGAUUCUGAUUAACCCCAUUUGCAGCCUAUAGAUAAUCAAUUUUUUGGCCUUAUUUUAGUUGUGCAAUCAAUUUUAUUGUGUUAUUAAGCUAUUUCUUGUAGAAUUUGUCAUCAAUCAAAACACAAAGUAUAAUUCUGGUGUAUGGCUAGCCCUUGCAAAGAAAUAAAUGCAUUGAUGUUAGACAUCAAUUUUGUUCCGCAUAAAUAAAAAACAUUUACUUGUGUACUUUGCCCAGACAGUGUGUAGAUGUCAGACCAUGGAAAACAUUAAAAUGUUAAGGGUGUCUCCCAGAAUAAUUGUUCCCUUUAGAUAUUCUGUUGUUUGUGUGGUUUGUUUAUGGUGUGCUUUUUUAAUUAAUUAAUUGAUUGACCUGAAGCAAGCAGUUGAUUACAAAAAAAACCAACCAAACAAAAAACCAACCAACCAAACAAACAAACAAAAAACCCCCACAAACCAACCAAAAACCCCCAAAACCAAAAAAUUAAGUGUUAUCCCUAGAAAGGAAGAAAAAGAUUUAUUAAGGCCACUUAAGACCUCACUGCAAGCAAGAAACCAGUCAAUUAACAGGCUUACCCAUGUCCUUCAGAAAUUGCUCUUUGAGAAAGUUUUAUUGAACCCUUUGGUCCUUAGUAUUGCAAAACUAGAUUUCUGUACCCAUACAUGGUGUAAUUGAAGUCAUCAAGACUGUACAUAACUCUUUGUCAGAUGCAGAUAACUCUGUGAACUAUCUUCAUAGUGAACUCUCUUGUCUGACCCUAAUUUUAGAUUGAUCUCUUUAGGCACUCAUCCUGCAAAACCCAAACCAAAAUAAUAGUACUGGGGCCAAAUCCUCAGAAAGGCCUCCAGAAGAGAUGAAUUACUAGUUCAUUCCUGAAAGCAGCACAAGUAAUUUUCAGGCUCUAGUGAAAACACUAUAAGUAAUAACCAGAACUGCACAAUUAUUUCUAUAUAUUUGGUACUAAUAUAAUUGUGCCAUGACUGACUUGCUGGACAGAAAGUAGGAACGAUUAGACUCAUUAUCUUUUUGUAACAUAGACAGUGGCUAGUUCUACAAUUGCUAAUGGCAAGUACAUAAUUUCAGUUGAGGGGAGAAGGUAUUUCAAAAGCAUUUUCCUCCCUAAUUUUCAUACUUAACAGGAACAUUAAUUUGCCAGGCUGCAUCCACAGCCCUGCCAAGAAACAGAGCCUGAACACAAGCGUUCCAGUGAGAAAGUGAACAUAUCAAAUCCACCUUUCCAAAGGUAAAACUUUCAGCAAGAGCUAAUGAAAGCAUCUGAGUGAGUAACCCCUUGAAGGACUUGUGAUUUGCUGGAAGGAAUGGAAAAAUGGGGCGCUGUUGUCUGCUCUUGGUAAUGUCUUUUGGGCCAGAAGUGCCAUGGCUCCUAAGGAGGUUGUGGAGUGCAGUUUCCUCUGCUGCCAGGCAGGACCUCAGGGCUUCAGUCCCAGUUGUUGAUAACAGCAGUUGUUCCAGAAAAAUGAUUUUCUGGAAAAACUGCACAGUUCAGGAUGUGCUGUAUCCCAAUUGUGAUGUUUAACAGGCCAUUAUGAGUACAGUAUCUACCUUCGUGCACCUAGACUUCCUAUCUCCCUCCUUGUGGUUCAUUUUCCACAUCUCUAAUGCAAAAAAAACCCACCACAAAGCCUAGAAAGCCAUUUUUCAACCAAGGUAAUCCAAGAAGACUCCAGGAGAUGAGAGUUCAGGAAACAAAAAAAAAAAAAGGAAAGCUGUUUCCUUCAACUUUACUGAUGAUUUUUUUUCCUAAAUUUUCAGAGCAUGGAAGAAAUAUGUUUUUAUUG
Molecule: long non-coding RNA, 2719 nt
Filed under: Taeniopygia guttata (zebra finch)
Lineage: Eukaryota; Metazoa; Chordata; Aves; Passeriformes; Estrildidae
Description: lncRNA (ENSTGUG00000026412.1)
Source: RNAcentral